RNAcentral lists this transfer RNA (73 nucleotides) under Apaloderma vittatum (bar-tailed trogon). It matches the Rfam family "tRNA". From Rfam's summary of the family: Transfer RNA (tRNA) molecules are approximately 80 nucleotides in length. The record is from Rfam by way of RNAcentral. Lineage: Eukaryota; Metazoa; Chordata; Aves; Trogoniformes; Trogonidae.
GCCCAGCUAACUCAGUUGGUAGAGCAUGAGACUCUCAAUCUCAGGGUCAUGGGAUUGAGCCCUAUCUUGGGUA